RNAcentral lists this ribosomal RNA (442 nucleotides) under uncultured bacterium. Its description in RNAcentral is "partial 16S ribosomal RNA". It matches the Rfam family "Bacterial small subunit ribosomal RNA", at positions 338 to 795 of the family's 1533-position model. The record is from RNAcentral.
CCUACGGGAGGCAGCAGUGGGGAAUAUUGGGCAAUGGGCGCAAGCCUGACCCAGCAACGCCGCGUGAAGGAAGAAGGCUUUCGGGUUGUAAACUUCUUUUCUUGGGGACGAACAAAUGACGGUACCCCAGGAAUAAGCCACGGCUAACUACGUGCCAGCAGCCGCGGUAAUACGUAGGUGGCACGCUUUAUCCGGAUUUAUUGGGUGUACAGGGCGUGUAGGCGGGAAUGCAAGUCAGAUGUGAAAACUAUGGGCUCAACCCAUAGCCUGCAUUUGAAACUGUAUUUCUUGAGUGCUGGAGAGGCGAGCGGAAUUCCGUGUGUAGCGGUGAAAUGCGUAGAUAUACGGAGGAACACCAGUGGCGAAGGCGGAUUGCUGGACAGUAACUGACGCUGAGGCGCGAAAGCGUGGGGAGCAAACAGGAUUAGAUACCCCAGUAGUC